UGGGGAAUAUUGGACAAUGGACGAAAGUCUGAUCCAGCAAUACCGCGUGUGUGAAGAAGGCCUGAGGGUUGUAAAGCACUUUCAAUUGGGAGGAAAACAGGCGAAAUUAAUAUCUCGUCUCUUGACAUUACCUUUAGAAGAAGCACCGGCUAACUCCGUGCCAGCAGCCGCGGUAAUACGGAGGGUGCAAGCGUUAAUCGGAAUUACUGGGCGUAAAGCGUGCGUAGGUGGUUUAUUAAGUCAGAUGUGAAAUCCCCGGGCUUAACCUGGGAACUGCAUUUGAAACUGGUAAACUAGAGUAUAGGAGAGGAAAGUGGAAUUUCAGGUGUAGCGGUGAAAUGCGUAGAUAUCUGAAGGAACAUCAAUGGCGAAGGCAGCUUUCUGGACUAAUACUGACACUGAGGUACGAAAGCGUGGGUAGCAAACA
Molecule: ribosomal RNA, 427 nt
Filed under: Gigantidas vrijenhoeki thiotrophic gill symbiont
Lineage: Bacteria; Pseudomonadati; Pseudomonadota; Gammaproteobacteria
Description: bacterial SSU rRNA
Rfam family: Bacterial small subunit ribosomal RNA
Source: RNAcentral